Molecule: ribosomal RNA, 521 nt
Filed under: uncultured bacterium
Lineage: Bacteria
Description: bacterial SSU rRNA
Rfam family: Bacterial small subunit ribosomal RNA
Source: RNAcentral
AGAGUUUGAUUAUGGCUCAGGAUGAACGCUAGCUACAGGCUUAACACAUGCAAGUCGAGGGGCAGCAUGACCGAAGCUUGCUUUGAUUGAUGGCGACCGGCGCACGGGUGAGUAACGCGUAUCCAACCUUCCCUAUAGUAGAGAAUAGCCCGGCGAAAGUCGGAUUAAUGCUCUAUGUUGUAUUUAGAAGACAUCUGAAGAAUACCAAAGGUUUACCGCUAUAGGAUGGGGAUGCGUCUGAUUAGGUUGUUGGCGGGGUAACGGCCCACCAAGCCCACGAUCAGUAGGGGUUCUGAGAGGAAGGUCCCCCACAUUGGAACUGAGACACGGUCCAAACUCCUACGGGAGGCAGCAGUGAGGAAUAUUGGUCAAUGGACGGAAGUCUGAACCAGCCAAGUAGCGUGCAGGAUGACGGCCCUAUGGGUUGUAAACUGCUUUUAUACAGGGAUAAAGUGAGGGACGUGUCCCUUUUUGUAGGUACUGUAUGAAUAAGGACCGGCUAAUUCCGUGCCAGCAGCGGC